UACGGAGGGUGCAAGCGUUAAUCGGAAUUACUGGGCGUAAAGCGCACGCAGGCGGUCUGUCAAGUCGGAUGUGAAAUCCCCGGGCUCAACCUGGGAACUGCAUCCGAUACUGGGAAGCUAGAGUAUGGGAGAGGAUGGUAGAAUUCCAGGUGUAGCGGUGAAAUGCGUAGAGAUCUGGAGGAAUACCGGUGGCGAAGGCGGCCCCCUGGACAAAGACUGACGCUCAGGUGCGAAAGCGUGGGGAGCAAACAGG
RNAcentral lists this unclassified non-coding RNA (253 nucleotides) under uncultured Enterobacteriaceae bacterium. RNAcentral's name for it is "contains 16S-23S intergenic spacer region". It matches the Rfam family "Bacterial small subunit ribosomal RNA", at positions 524 to 776 of the family's 1533-position model. Lineage: Bacteria; Pseudomonadati; Pseudomonadota; Gammaproteobacteria; Enterobacterales; Enterobacteriaceae. The record is from RNAcentral.